Molecule: long non-coding RNA, 20280 nt
Organism: Pan troglodytes (chimpanzee)
Lineage: Eukaryota; Metazoa; Chordata; Mammalia; Primates; Hominidae
Exons: 4
Source: RefSeq, a predicted model, not a curated record
UUCCUGCAUUUGGCGAGGUCUUUGUCUCUCGCUGGCGCUGGCACAGGAGCUUGGGAUCCGUCUCCUCUUUCGCCUCCUCCACCUUGGGAGCCCCGGGCUACUCUCUCACAGCCCUUGUUGCCCUGUGAUCUGAAGGUCCUUGGGGACGCAUAGUUAAGGUGCCAGGACAUCCUGGAAGCUGGGAAAUGAUUGUUGCAGUGUCAGGACCAAGGUCAAAUGAGUUAUAGCCAAGUCUACAGUAAGAUGUGGCAGUAUUCUGUUUUGAAGCCGGGACCAUGAUUGGGCGGGGAGACCUUCCUUCCCCACGGGUUUGAGGCUAUGGCUAAGUGGUGAGCCUUGGGGAGAUGCAGAAAGGAUCCAUCCCAGGCACUUGGCUAGAGAUCAAACCUGUUGUUGGACUUUCUAGUGACUCUCUAAAUUCAGGUAUUUUACUUUUCAGCUCCACACUUUAUGUUUCUAUUUUGUACUUUUAAUCACUUCGUUGAUUAUCUCAUUAUCUUCAUGCGUUGUUUUCUUUUUCUGUUUAGUUUUCUAUGUUCUUCUUUAGCUGACUGAGCAUCCUUAAGCUAGGUGUUUUAGCUAGGCACAAUGACAUGUAUGUCUAAUUCCAGCUACUUUGAAAGCUAAGGCAAGAGGAUUUCUGUAUUAAUAAAUUCUCAUGCAGCUAAUAAAGACAUAACCAAGACUAGAUAAUUCAUAAUGAAAAAGGUUAAUGACCUCACAGUUUCACAUGGCUGGGGAGGUCUCACAAUUAUUGGAGCAAGCAAGAGACUUUGUUCAGGGAAAUCUCCACUUAUAAAACCAUCAGAUCACAUGAGACUUAUUUGCUAUCAUGAGAACAUCACAGGAAAAUCCCACCCCCAUGAUUCAAUUACCUCCCACAGGGUCUCUCCCAGGACAUGUGGAGAUUAUUACAAUUCAAGGUGAGAUUUGGUUGGGGACACAGAGCCAAACAAUAUCAAUUACUUAAGGCCAGGAGUUUGAGACCAACCUGGGCAAUACUGUGAGAAGCUAUAUGUAAAAAAUAUUUUUACAGAUUAGUCAUGCAUGGUGGAAUGUUCCUGUAGUCUCAGGAAGUUGGAGGCUGAUGUAAGAUUAUUCCUUGAGCUCCCAGGAAUUUGAGGCUGCAUUGAGCUAUAACCAUGGUACUGUAUUCCUGUCUGGGUGAGAGAGUAAGACCUCUUUUUAGAAUUUCAAAUUUGUUUUAGAUUUAGGAGGUACCUACACAGGUUUUUUACAUGGGUAUUUUGUAUAAUGCUGAGGUUUGAAGUAUAAGUAAUUCCAUCACUUAUGCAGUGAGCAUAGUACUAAAUAGACAGUUUUUCAGUUCUUGAUCCCUCCCUCUCUCCACCCUCUAAGAGUUGUCUAUUAUUUUUAUUUUUAUGUCCGUGUGUACCCAGUGUUAAUUUCCAUUUAUAAGUGAGAACAUGCAGUAUUUUCGUUUUGCAUUUCUGCAUUAAUUUGCUUUGUAGAAUGACCUUUAGUUGCAUUAAUGUUGCUGCAAAUGACAAGUUUUUUUUUUUUUUUUUUUUUUGCUAAGUAGUAUUUCUGUACAAGUGACACUUUUUAAAUUCAAUUUACCAUUAAUAGGCUGGACACGGUGGCUGAUGCCUGUAAUCCUAGCACUGUGGGAGGCCAAGGUGAGUGGAUCAUGAGGUCAGGAGAUCGAGACCAUCCUGGACAGCAUAAUGAAACCCGGUCUCUACUGAAAAUACAAAAGUUAGCCGGGCGUGGUGGCAUGUGCCUAUAGUCCCAGCUACUCGGGUGGCUGAGGCAGAAUAAUUCCUUGAACCUGGGAGGUGGAGGUUGUAGUGAGCUGAGAUCAUGCCACUGCACUCCAGCCUGGGAAACAGAGUGAGAAUUCAUCUAAAAAAAAAAAAAAAAAAUUACCAUUAAUAGGCACCUAGGUUGAUUUAUGACUUUCCUAUUAUAAAUAAUGCAGCGAUGAACCAACAAGUGCAUGUGCUAUUUUGGUAGAAUAAUUUAUUGUCUUUCUGGUAUAUACACAGUGGAGAAAUUGCUGGGUUGAAUCAUAGUUCAAUUCUCAGUUAUUUGGAAAAUCUGCAAGCUGCUCUCCACAGUGGCUGAACUAAUUUAUAUUCCUAUUAACACUGUAUCAGUGGUUUUUUUCCCUCUAAAAUCUCAUCAACAACUACUAUCAUUUUACUUUUUAACAAAAGCCAUUCUAACUGUUGUAUGAUGGUGUCUUAUUGUGGUUUUUAUUUACAUUUCCUUGAUGGUUAGUGAUGAUAAUAUUUUUUCACGUUAUUUGGCUACUUGUAUGUAUUCUUUUGAACAGUGUCUGUUAUUGUCCACUUUUUCAUGGGGUAAUUUUUUGCUUGUGAAUUCUUUAAGUUUCUUAUAGAUUCUGAGUAUUAGAUUUUGUCAGGUUCAUUGGUUGUGAAAAUUUUUCCCAUUCUGCUAUCUUUGGGGUUAGUUUGUUUUUAUUUUUCUAGUUUCUCUAAGUGUGAUGUUAAAUUGUUAGUUUGAGAUCUUUCCAACUUCUUGAUGCAGGUAUUUAGCACUCUCAACUUUCCUCUUAACAGUGCUUUCCCUACAACCCAGACAUUUUGGUAAAUUGUGUCUCUUAAUUUAUUUCAAAAUUUUUUUAAAGUUUCUGCCUUAAUUUUGUUAUUUACCCAAAAUUCACUCAGGAGCAAGUUGUUUAAUUUCAAUGUCAUUCUGUGAUUUUGUGAGAUUUUCUUGGUAUUGAUUUUUAUCUUUGUUCCAUUGUGGCCUGACAGUAUGGUUGGCAUAAUUUUCAUUUUUAAAAAAUGUAUGGAUAAUUGCUUUAUGGCUAGGAAGUGGUCAAUCCUAGAGUAUAUUCUGUGAGUGAUGAGAAGAAUUUAUGUUCCUUAGAUGAUGUGUGGCUUAGCUAUAAGUGUCUAUUAGUUUCAAUUGAUCAAGCCUGAAAUCAAACUCCAGAAUUUCUUUGUUAAGUUUCUGCCUAGAUAAUCUGACAAACACUGUUAGUGGGGAGUUGCAUUCUCCUACUAUUAUUGUGUGGCUACUUGAGUCUUAUUGUAGGUCUAGCAGUACUUGUAUAACUCUAUGUUCCCCAAAGUUGGGUGCAUCUACAUUUAGGAUAGUUAAGUCUUCUUGUUGAAUUGAACCCUUUAUCAUUAUGCAAUGCCUUUCUUUGUUUUAUUUUACUAUUAAUGAUUUAAAGUCCUUUUUUCUUAAAAGAGAAACAAUUCCAGGUAUGGUGGCUCAUCCCAGCACUUUCAGACUGAGGCAGUAGGAUUGCCUGAGACCAGGAGUUUGAGACCAACUGAGGCAACAUAACAACAUUCUGUUUGUACAAAUUUUUUUAAAGAAACUACACAGGUGUGGUAGUGUGCAGAACUGUGGUCAUAUUUACUCAGGAGACAUAGGCGGCAUGACUGCUUGACUUCAGAAAUUUGUGGUUACAGUGAGCUGUGAUUGCACCACUUCACUCUGUCCCAGGAUAUAGAGUAAGAUCCUGUGUAUAAAAUGAAAAAAUAAAGAAAAAUAAAAUUAUUUUAAGUUAAAAAUAAAUUCAUAGAUCUCCACUUCUUUUGGUUCUCUUGAAUAUAUAUUUUUCUCAUUAGAUUAGGCUAUAUUUCCUGGUUGCUUUUACAUACUGUGGUUUUGUUAAGGUUUUGGUCAAUUAAGAAACCACUACCUAUUUUAUCCUUUAUGAAAUAGCUUUGUACAUGGGAAAAUUGACAACAUUCUGCCACACUAGUCAUUCUGGGAGCUUCUCCAAUCUGUUGUCAAAAUGUGUCUUCGUUGGACUAGUGUAUGUAUUUUCGUGUUAAUAAGGUUUACCUCUGUUUCCUUUUAGGAGCCUUUAGCCUCUUCCCUUUGUCACUGUUACAGGCACUACCAUCUCUGUUGUUGUAAGAAAUAUUUAUCUUUAUUCUCAGUUGACCCAAGCUGUCAUUUAAACUCUAUCUCUAUUCUGGUCAACAUUAAAUGUUAAAGGAAGCAAUAUCCAGUCUUUGGAGAACCCCGGUAUGACUCAAUAAGUCAGAAGUUUGCAUACACAUUUCACCCUUUUUUCUUUCCCGAGGGAGAAUCAUAGAAUGGACAGAUUUUUAUCUAACUGCACUGUUCUGUAGUGCACAAAUGUAACCAAAUUUUCUUUCUUCUAAAUGUGGUUAUGGUUGGCUUUUUUCUGAUGUGGGGUGCUACAAACUCAACUGGCUUUGCUCGCCCAAUUGUAGUUAAGUUCAUACAUCCAUUGAGAGAAACAGGAUCUCAGGUUCUGCUUCAACUGUCAUUGUGUUCUCAGCUGGCCUCAUUUUGUACAUUCGAUUUAUAAAAUAUAUUUUCCUUAAUCUCAUAACUGAAUUUUUUAAAAAAUUAAUAUUUUUCAGCUCUUUUAGCAUUAUAUCCAACCAAGACCCAGAGAAAACAGUACAUAGAAGCUUCUUUUCAAAAAGUACUAUUGGGAAGAUCUGGGAGCCCUGGCCUUGAAAAUUUACACGUAAGGAAAGUGGGAAAUUGAAGGAUAAGUGUAAAGGGCACAAAGGAUGUUAUGAUGAAUAUACCAGAUAUACAGCAGCUACCUACAGCAAAAAUGUCACUGCUAGAAGAGCUCAAAACCAUAAAGUAUUUUGGAAAAAGCAUAAUUAAUGUUGAUACUUUUUUCUGAACUAUAUAUUUGUAUAAUUACAUAUCAAUAACGAUUUUUGAAACAUAUCAUGUUUUUGAAACAAAAUUUAGAAAAUGUAAAUAGUGGCCUAGACCGGGAAUAUUUCUCCUAAUGCUAUCCCUCCCAUAGUCCCCCACUUCCUGACAGGCUCCAGUGUGUGGUGUUCCCCUUCCUGUGUCCAUGUGUUCUCUUUGUUUAACUCCCAACUAUGAGAGAGAACAUGUGAUGUUUGCUUUUCUACUCUUGUGUUAGUUUGCUGAGAAUGGUGGUUUCCAGCUUCAUCCAUGUCCCUGCAAAGGACAUGAACUCAUCCUUUUUAUGACUGCAUCAUAUUCCAUGAUGUGUACAUGCCACAUUUUCUUUAUUCAGUCUAUCACUGGUGGGCAUUUGGUGUAGUUCAAAGUUUUUGCUCUUGUGAACAGUGCCAUAAUAAACAUAUGUGUGCAUGUGUCUUUAUAGUAGAAUAAUUUAUAAUCCUUUGGGUAUAUACCCAGUAAUGGGAUCGCAGGGUCAAAUGGUAUUUCUCAUUGUAGAUCCUUGAGGAAUUGCCAUACUGUCUUCCACAAUGGUGGAACUAAUUUACACUCUCACCAACAGUGUAAAAGUGUUCCUAUUUCUCCACAUCCUCUCCAGCAUCUGUUGUUUCCUGAUUUUUUUAAUGAUCACCAUUCUAACUGGUGUGAGAUGGUUUCUCAUUGUGUUUUUGAUUUGCACUUUUCUAAUGACCAGUGAUGAUGAGCUUUUUUUCAUGUUUGUUGGCUGCAUAAAUGUCUUCUUUUGAGAAGUGUCUCUUCACGUCCUUUGCCCAUUUUUGAUGUGGCUGUUUGGUUUUCUCUUGUAAAUUUGCUUAUGUUUUUUGCAGAUUCUGCAUGGUAGCCCAUUGUCAGAUGGAUAGAUUGCAGAAAUUUUCUCCCAUUCUGUAGGUUGCCUGUUCACUCUGAUGAUAGUUUCUUUUGUUGUGAAGAAGCUCUUUAGUUUUAUUUAUCUCAUUUGUCAAUUUUGGCUUUUGUUGCCAUUGUUUUUGGUGUUUUAGUCAUGAAGUCUUUGCCCACGCCUAUGUCCUGAAUGGUACUGCCUUGGUUUUCUUCGGGGUUUUUAUGGUUUUAAGUCUUACAUUUAAGUCUUUAAUCCAUCUUCAGUUAAUUUUUGUAUAACUAGUAAGGGAGAUGUCCAGUUUCAUUUUUUUUUCAUAUGGCUAUCUAGUUUUCCCAACACCAUUUAUUGAAUAAGGAAUCCUUUCCCGAUUACUUGGUUUCCUCAAGUUCUUCAAAGAUCAGGUGGUUGUAGAUGUUUGAUGUUAUUUCUGGGGCCUCUGUUCUGUUCCAUUUGUCAAUAUAUCUUUUUUGGUACCAGUACCAUUCUGUCUUGGUUAAUGUGGCCUUUUAGUAUAGUUUGAAGACAGCUAGCGUGAUGCCUUCACUUUUGUUCUUUUUGCUUAGGAUUGUCUUGUCUAUGCAUGAUCUUUUUUGAUUCCAAAUGACAUUUAAAGUAGUUUUUUUUAUCAUUCUGUAAAGAAAGUCAACGGGAGCUUGAUGGGGAUAGCACUGAAUUUAUAAAUUACUUUGGGCAGUAUGGCCGUUUUCACAAUAUUGAUUCUUCCUAUCCAUGAGCACUUAUUGUUUUCCAUUUGUUUGUGUCCUCUUUUAUUUCCUUGGGCAGUGGUUUGUAGGUCUACUUGAAGAGGUCCUUCCCAUCCCUUUUAAGUUGGAUUCCUAGGUAUUCUCUUUGUAGCAAUUGUGAAUAAGAGUUCAUGCAUGAUUUGGCUCUCUGUUUGUCUAUUAUUGUGUAUAGGAAUUCUUGUGAUUUUUGAACAUUGAUUUUGUAUCCUGAGACUUUUUUGAAGUUGCCUAUCAGUUUAAGGAGAUUUUGGGCUGAGACGAUGGGGUUUUCUAAAUAUACAAUCACGUCAGCUGCAAACAGAGACAACUUGAGUUCCUCUUCCUAUUUGAUUACGCUUUGUUUCUUUCUCUUGACUGAUUGCCCUGGCCAGGACUUCCAAUACUAUAUUGAAUAGGAGUGGUGAGAGAGGGUAUUCUUGUCUUGUGCAGAUUUUCAAAAGGAAUGCUUCAAGUUUUUGCCCAUUCAGUAUGAUAUUGGCUGUGCAUUUGUCACAAAUAGCUCUUAUUAUGUUGAGAUAAGUUCCAUCAAUACAUAAUUCAUUGAGAGCUUUUACCAUGAAGAGGUGUUGAAUUUUAUUGAAGGCUUUUUUUGCAUCUUGAGAUAAUCAUGUGGUUUUUGUCAUUUGUUCUGUUUAUGUGAUGGAUUACAUUUAUUGAUUUGCAUAUGUUGAACCAGCUUUGCAUCCCAGGGAUUAAGCUGACUAGAUCGUGGUGGAUAAGAUUUUUGAUGUGCUGCUGGAUUCGGUUUGCCAGUAUUUUAUUGAGGAUUUUCGCAUUGGUGUUCAUCAGGGAUACGGGUCAGAAAUUUUCCUUUUUUGUUAUGUCUUUGCCAAGUUUUGGUUUCAGGAUGAUGCUGGCCGCAUAAAAUGAGUUAGGAAGGAGUAUCUCUUUUUCUAUUGUUUGAAAUAGUUUCAGAAGGAAUGGUCCCAGCUCCUCUUUGUACGUUUGGUAGAAUUCAGCUGUGAAUCCUUCUGGUCCUGGACCUCUUUUUGUUGGUAGGCUAUUAAUUACAGCCUCAAUUUUAGAACUUGUUAUUGGCCUAUUCAGGGAUUCGACUUCUUACUGGUUUGGACUUGGGAGUGUGUAUGUGUCCAGGAAUUUAUCCAUUUCGUCUAGAUUUCCUAGUUAAUUUGCAAAGAGGUAUUUAUAAUGUUCUCUAAUGGUAUCUUUUAUUUCUAUGGGAUCAAUGGUUAUAUCCCCUUUAUCAUUUCCUAUUGCAUGCAUUUGAUUCUUCUCUUCUUCCUUAUUAGUCUGGCUAGCAGUUUAUUUAUUUCUUGAUCUUUUCAAAAAACCAGCUCCUGGAUUCAUUGAUUUUUUUGACGGGCUUUUGUGUCUCUAUCUCCUUCAGUUCUGCUCUGAUCUUAAUUAAUUCUUGUCUUCUGCUAGCUUUCGAAUUUGUUUGCUCUUGCUUCCCUAGUUUUUUUAAUUGUAAUGUUAUGGUGUCGAUUUUAGACCCUUUCUGCUUUCUCUUGUGGGCAUUUAGUGCUAUAAAUUUCCCUUUGCACACUACUUUAGCUGUGUCGUAUUUUACUUUUUAAGCCCUCAAUCUUUCUUUUUCAUCAUGAUACUCUUGACUGUUUUAUGUUUAUGUAAACUGUAAAAUUGACUACACAGUUUUUACAAAUAUUUUACCAAAAUAUUUUAUUGAGAAUGUACAAACCAGUCAGUGAAUUAGGGGAGAAGUUGCAUUGUAGUAAUAAAUAGCCACAAAACAAAACCCCGAAGGACAUCCAAACCAGAAUAAAACAAAACAUUUUAACAAAAACAAAAAGAACACACUGGCAACAAAUACGUGCAGUUUAUAUCACAAAGAUGCUCACAUCUCCACUCUAAAGAGAGCUUUUAGAAGUUGAUUUAAAAUAUGAGAAAAGGCAUUAUCCCACACUUCACAGAAAAAAUAAAUUUAAGCAGCUGUUAACACAUGAACAUAAUAUCAAGCUCAGAUAUAAUCAAAAUUAAAUAUUUGACAACAGAUUCUACAGUUUGAGAGAAAUAGAAAAGUGUUUUUUGUUUUCUCCAGGCCCACAAGUCUAGUUUCUUGGACUUCCUCACUAUAAUGGGGGUUGUCAUCAGAUCCCCAAAAUAUGGGAAACACAGAGCAGGUGGUGGCUGAAGGUGGGAUAUCCUGUGAAACCAUAUUUAAGUUCAGAGCCCUUGGUCCAUUGUAUUGCAAUCAGCUGGCUCAGGAAAGAAGACCUGGCUCUCCUGAGCUCUACACCUACUGCACUGGGUAUGUUAGGCAGCCUAAGAACCCCUGGGGCCCAAACCCAUCCCAUCCUAAUAUAUCAUCCAGUAUCGAGGACUCUGACACCAAAUUCUCCCAGAGCAUAUGCUUAUGCAGUUUUACAUUUAAUUUCUCAUUACAUUACAAUUGGGAAAGUGAGGCCCCAAAAGAGGCAGGGACUGAUCCAGAUCUCAGGAGGUGGGCAGGCUCCAGAGCAUUAGGGAGGGCUCCAGCUUCCUAGGCCUUGGCUCCAUCCCACCUAUCAGGUUUGCUUUGGAAGUUAGAGCCUGUAGCUUCACAUUCAGGGGCACAGAGAAUGAGCAGAUCCAGGGUUCUGUUCACAUGGGGACCUCUCCAUGUGAGUUUCAAGAUAACAGGACUGGGGUUUUGCAUCCAGCUCUGAGGGCACCUGGAAGUAAAAUGAGCUAUGCUCCACCUCAGCCUAAUGUAGACAAUGCCUACAGGAAAGCCUGUUUUCUUCCUCAUAAAUAGGAGUGCUUGAAGUGCGUGACCUCGAUGAUUUCACAUACUCAUAAGUGUCUGCCAGCCUGGGUUCUUGCUCUGAGACUGUGCAAAAAUGCAUCCACUCUCUUCCGGUCCUUCAAAUCAAAGGGAGGCAUGGCAGCUUCAGAGGCAUCUUGGGUAGAUGAAGAUGAGACGGAGCUAAAUAUGCCAGAGCAUUGGACUCUGAGGCUGAAGUCCACGGAAAAUCCCAGCUCCUGUUGGGCUCUUAAGGUCCUCAUUUGAAAGUGGUAGAAAAUAAUUUCACUGGAUAAGGGGAGGAUACCUCAUGAAUAAAUAGCACAACCUAAAAGGCAGAGGCAAACAGAAGGCAAAGGGGGAUUCCCAGGUCACUCAUUGUACUUGGGGCCUUCAGAUUCUGCUACUUUAUCCCCUAGGACCUUGAAGAACCAGUGUCUUGAGGACAGAAAAAUCAAGGUACCUGAUUUGUUCCAUAGUGCUCCUGCAUGGGGCUGUAGGGUUAGUGAUGGCCUGGAGGUGGUUACAGCCAGCUCUGUUUCUGGUGCCCACUGAGCUUUGCUGGAGCAGCUGGAACAAGUAAGAGUCACACACCUCAUGUUGUUAUCAAUGAUCUCCACAUUAUCAGGUGGUCAAAAGAGGAAGGGAUAUUAGAGAUCCCCCAUAUAAUCACUUAGCCAGUCUUUUUUCCCUUGUGCUCACCCUUUGCCAGCUAACCAGGUGGGUGCAACGUGGUACAGAAAAUUAUUACAUGAUGCCUGCACCCCCCAACUCAGGACCAAACAGUCUGAGGACAGCUGGACAAAAGCACUAAAGCAAGUAUAUGUGAAAGAAAAGAGCAAGGACUAUAAUAUAAAGUAGAAUGUUGAGAAGAAAAGCUGGAAAAUUAUUGCAUGGGAGGACCUAAGGCCUCACUGAGUUGACUUUUAAUCCAUGAUAAGGAUGACAACAGGGAGGUGUCUCUGCACAAGUAUGUGUCAGGAAGAAGCCACCCUUAGUGAAUAGGUUCAUAGGUGUGAGUUUGGCAGAGGUUAGAAAGGGACUAGUUUGGCUGCAGACAGCCUGAGGAAGAGAUAAGCAGAGGGCUGGAGAAUCCUAGGGCCUGGGAGAUGAGGUUAGAUAUCUGCUCCUUUCUGACAACUUUGCCCUAUAACUCAGCACUUUUCAACAACAUAUAAUAUCUCAUAAUGUGUGGACCAGAAUUUGGAUACAGUUCAGCUGGCUACCUCUGCCUUCAGGUCUUUUAUGAGAUUGGGGCUGUGGUCUUAACUGAAGCAGGACUGGGAAAGCAUCAGCCUUUAAGCUGACUCAUGUGAAAAUUGGUAGGGUUUAGUGUGGCUGGAGAGCCUGACUUUCCUUCUUUCUACUGGUCUGAGCACCCCCUCAGCUCUCUGUUAUGUGAGUCACUACAUGGAGCAUCUCAUAGCAUUGAAGCUUGCUUCCUGUGUUUGAGGAAUACAAUAUAGGGACAGAAUUAGACAAAAAGGUUUACACAAAAAGACACAGAGAGAGAAAAAUCGAGGGCACAAACAGGAAAAACCCAGUAGGAGAAAAAUGAGAGCUUUAGAAUAUCUUGACAGGGUGCGGUGGCUCACAACUGUAAUCCCAGCACUUUGGGAUGCUGAGACAGGUGGAUCGUCUGAGGUCACGGGAUUGAAACCAGCCUGGACAACGUGGUGAAACCACGGUCUCUUCUAAAAAUACAAAAUGAGCCAGGUGUGGUGGCACAUGCCUGUAAUCCCAGCUACUUGGGAGACUGAUGCAGGAGAAUCAUUUGAACCUGGGAGGUGAAGGUUCCAGUAAGCCGAGAUCACACCACUGCACUCCUGCCUGGGAUACAAGAGCGAAACUGUGUCUCAAAAAAAAAAAAAAAGGAAAAAAAAUCUUGAGAGUUAAAAUAAUUUUUCUCCUAUAUUUGUGUUAAAAUUGUAACCCCUGGUGUAAUGCUGUAAGGAUGUAAGAUGUAAUUAACUCCCGUGGGUGGGACCCUCAUUAUAGAGAUUACCGGCUUUAUACAAGAAACCACAGAGGCCUCUCAUCCUCCUACUGCAAAAUGAGGAUAAAACUUGAGGUGUGCAGUCUGAAAUUCAGAAGCUAGUCAUCACCAGAGCUCAACCAUGCUGACAACCUGAUCUCAAAUUUCGAACCUCUAGAAGUAUGAGAAAUUAAGUACUGUUGUCUGUAAGCUGCCUAUCUAUGGUUCUUUGGCAUAGCAGCCUGAAGUAAUAGAAAAGUGAUAUCCUUCUCUGUAUUUCAUUGGACAGAAGCUGAAUUUGUACCACUACACUGUUAAAAAAAAGACUUAAAAUGGAUUUUCAUAAUGAAAGAUAGGAAACGGCUUGUUGAAACACUAAAAUUUUAUCGGCUUAUAAGAUUUUUGAACAUUGGCUGAAAUUGUUGGAACCAAUAUGGCUAAAUGAAGUCCAUGAAGAACCAGUUUGCAGAUGUUAGAGCCCAAAUUUCCAUUGUGUGUUUCAUACUAACUCUCCCUGAAUUUGCAUGUCACCUGAGAGGAAGCAAGAAGAGAUGACUGUGUAUGUCUCAUGACUUUCCAUAUUCCUACUUUCCUUCCAGCAAUCCCUUAUAGAACCCACCUCUUAGGCCUUUUCUAAUCACUGUCUUGAAGCCAGUAUAAGAAAACAAAUUUCAGCUGGACUGCUAUCUCCUUGUUGGCCAACCUACAACAUGAUAUUUUCCUCAAAACCCAAGGGCCAUACUACUGGCAUCAGGCAGUAGGCCAUUUUAUUCAAUAAAAAAUGGAGUCACUCACCACCUAGUACUGGGAGGCUUUGUGAAGACUUCCCCUGUCACAGGUGUGAUAAGGCACAUGGAUAUGAUUCUAAAUAUACAGAGAAAGCACUAGAAAGUUGAAUGGCUGUAUUAUGUCAUUGUCAUACUGCAAUGAUGAAGUACCUGAGACUGGGUAAUUGAUAAAGAAAAGAAGUUUAAUUGACUCACAGUUCCACAUAAUUGGGGGAGCACCUCAGAAACCUUCCAAUUACAGUGGCUGACAAGUGAAGUGAGUGAGGGCAUGGGAUGUACCAGAUGCUUAUGAAACGAUCAGAUCUCAUGAGAACUCACUAUCGCAAGAACAGCAUGAGGAGAACCCGUCCCCAUAAUCCAAUCCUCUCCCCUCAGGUUUCUCCCUAAACACCUGGGGGUUAUAAUACACAGAGGAGUUUGGGUGGGAUACACAGCUAAACUAUAUGAAUGCCAGAGGACAAUAUCUACAUUUAAUUUCAACUCCAUACUGGAGCAGAAUGAAAAUGAGGCCCAGUGGAGAAGUGACAUUCCCAAGAUCACCCUGCCAGACCCAGGACUGUUUGAGUUGUGGCCCAUGCUACCUCCCAGCUUUUCUCCUAAUGCUUCCAUCUCUAAGUGUGUGCAUUAUCUACAGGUAACACCACAUCAUGAUUUUUAUGUUUUAUCUUAUAUACACUUAAUACGAUCCCUAGGAAGUAGAUGUUAGCAUCAUCCCCACUGUGCAUGCUAGGAGGCUGGGGAAGCCUCGAAUACACAGUGACUUUUAUUGGGUCCCAGAGCUGGUAAGAAAAACAAGUUUAUGUUCCAGCUGUCUCUUAUAUCCUGGAACCUAGGCUGCAUUUAGUUCUUUCCAGGGAAUUAAGGGGAAGUUGUGUUUGCAUAAUUGUGUACAAAUGAAGAGUUGACAUUGAAGAGGAGACUGAGCAGUUAGUAGCAUAGUGGGACCUUUGGGUAGGUCUUACAGAAAGAAGGGGCCCAGUAGAUGGAACCUUGAAGAGUUUAACACACUUUCUUGGUGACAAAAUCCAACAGCAGUUAAGAAACCAGGAACCCACAUCGUUGAGACAGCUCUGUAUCCACCUCUGUUAGUGAGAGAUGCUCAAGAGAGUGAGAUGUUCUUUCAUUGUGCCCUGAAAUUUCUGAGUUUUGGCCUUACAAAGGCUCAAUGUAAAAGUCUUAUCUGAAAACACGGAUGUCAACUCAGCCCUCAUCACUGAUGUCCCUGGCUAUUGGUCGAGUGCACCUACAAAUAACACAGGGCAGCCCAGGACAGGCCCUUCCACGUGAGUCCUCUCUUGUCAACUCAUCUGGGCCGUCCCACACCACUUCUUAGUACCAUGAGUUGUAUGGGGAGCAAGAGGGAGGGCACUCUUCUUGGACUGAAGCAGAUUGUCAGGUGUUGGAACUCUUGUGUACCUGUCAUGUUCAUACCUAGGCCAAAGCUGUCAGAAUAAAAAGAAGAGGGUUGAAGACCGAGUCUGUGUACUCAGAUGUGAAUUCCAAGACUUUAACUUGUCCUCUGGUUUCCUUCCUUGCUGGAGAUUUAUACAGAUUCUCCUUAUGUGCCUAAUCUGAAGAGCAGAAUUUCUUUUCUUUUCUUUUCUUUUCUUUCUUUUCUUUUCUUUUCUUCUUUCUUUCUUUCUCUUUUUUUUUUGAGGAAGUCUCUCUCUGUCACCCAGCCUGGAGUGCAGAGAAAAGCAGAAUUUCUAGUGGAGGUGUCACAUAUGGUGAAAACAAGGCAGACCACUGAUUUUUCUUUGCGUGGUUUCUAGGCACGUUUUUCAGAGCUGCGUUCAGAUUGAUGAGGAGCUGUUUGAUGUGGCCAACUCCACCCUCUUUUUGGAAAAAGAGCAGGUGCACUAAACCAGCAACCACAGCCAGCAUCGGGCUGUGGUAAGAGCAGCCACAUAGGGGUCUCUACAGACAGAAACCCGAGAAGACCGGGACAGACCCAGUACCCAGACUCAUAUAGGAAAACUCUCUGGGCUGUGUCCUAUGGCCUUCCCAUGAGUAACUGAUAGUCUUGAUCCAGUGGAAUCUGGCCUACAUUAGUGUCAGUUGCAAGUUGGUUAUGUGGAAAGUCUCUGUUCACUCAACUUGUGUGAAUAACAGUAAAGGCCUUUCUAUUGUUUUCACUUUGCAUUAGGCCAUGAGUAUUUGUGCCUGUGGCUGCAGUUUGUAUUAGUUUCUUGCCCCAGGUAUCUGCUGCAGCAUGCAGCUUCAGUCCUACCAGACCCUCAAAACUUAAAAGCUAACACUAUUACUAGGGAGGAUUUCACAGGAAAAUGGAGAAAGGGUUACACACAAAAAAGGUUAAACUUUUCUAUGCAUGUUUCUGCAAUGUGUUAUCUCAAGAACUCAUCUCUGUAGCCCAUCAGGGCAGGGGCUGGGCUCUCACCUUUUGAUAAUAUUCCAUAAGGGAGGUUCUUCCCCACAGUGUUUAGUCUUCCGACGCUGGUACAGCCUGACAUGAUGACAUUCUACUUUCAUGUCGGUCAUGCUGCAGGGAAUAUUCUGUGAGUGUCUUAAGAGGCUGGACUCAUUUGCUAGGGUGAACCUCAUCUUUGGUGCUCACUUUUCUGUUAUCUCAUAAUUAGCUUUAUUCUAAGCAAAUCUAUGUCUAUUUUAUUUAUCUGUUUACUUAUUUUUAUGUAUGGAAAAACGCAUUUUUAAAUUUACUUAUUUAUUUAGAGACAGGGUGUCCCUUUGUCACCCAAGCUGGAGUACAGUGGUAGAGUGUUGUGAUCAUGGCUCAUUGCAGCCUCAAACUCUUGGGUUCAAAUGAUUGUCUCACCUCAGCUUCCUGUGCUACCAUGCCCUGCUAGUUGAUUUUAAUUUUUUAUAAAGAAAGAGUCUCAUUAUGCUGCCCAGGCUGGUCUCAAACUCCUGGGCCCAAGCAGUUCUCUCAUCUCAGCCUCCCAAAACACUGGGAUUAAAAACAUGAGCCACUGUACUGAGCUGUGCCUACUUCAAAAGACUGAAAAUAAAAAAUCGAUAAAUCUUUGCCAAAUUAAAAAUAAAGCAAUAGUUUCCAGGUCUUAGAUAAAGACAAUUCUUUGUCAUGAAGAAUGACAAAAGGCUUAUUUAGCUGUUAAAAUGAUUUGCUUAUAUUUCAAAGAAGCAGAGAAAAAAAGGUACAUAUACAAGUUUUCCAGGCCAGGCAUGGUAGUUCCUGCCUGUAAUCCGAACAUUUGGGGAGGGCAAGGCAGGAGGUUCCCUUGAAGCCAAAUAUUUGAGUCCAGUGCAGGCAACAUGGUGAAAUUCUGUCACUACAAAAAAAUAAAAUAAAAUAAAAUAAAUAUGGCUGGGCAUGAUGGCCUACACCUGUAAUCCCAGCACUUUGGGAGUUGGAGGCAGGUGGAUAAUGAGGUCAGGGGUUUGAAACCAGCCUGGCCAAAAUGGUGAAACCCAUUCUCUACUAAAAAUAAUAAUAAUAAUAUAUUAACCAGGCAUGGUGGUGUGCCCCUGUAAUCCCAGCUACUCAAAAGAUUGAGGAAGGAGAAUUGCUUAAACCUGGGAGGUGGAGGUUGCAUUGAGACAAGAUCAUGCCACUACACUCCAGCCUGGUCCACAGAGCAAGACACUGUCUUGAAAAAAAAAUAAAAACAAAAAUAAAUAAAGCUAGCCAGGCAUGGUGGUUCAUGCCUAUAUUCCUAGGUAAUUAAGAGGUUGAGGCAGGAGGACUGCUGAAACCCAAGAGGUUAAGGUUACAGUGAGCUAUGAUUAUGCCAUUGCACUUCAGGGUAAGUAAAAGAGUAAGAUUCUGUCUCAAAAAAUUAAUAAUGAAAUUUUUCUAAAUUACAUUGUUUAAGAAAAGGGAAAAAAAUCUUUUUUUAUUUUCAAAUGGGAGAAUAGAGCCUCUCAUUUCUAAUUUGUAUUUCCUUCUGCAAAAACUUGGUCUAGGCCCAUGAUCUUGAACUACUGGACAUCUGGAUUUUAGUAGGUGCUGGAUUCAGGCAACUGAGGGGUGGCCUUGUGCACACUGUGUGCACAUAAAAUAAAGAGUUUGAGGUGUACUAAAAGGUAAAAGAGGGGAAGGUGCUAUUAAGAACCCACAAUUGGGAGACAGUACAGGGUUGGUGGAAGGACUGGUUCAUGCUAUGGAUACUGACCCAGGUGAAACUUUCCUCUGAGUUAUUUCUAUGUCCAUGCAGGAAGACGAGAUUAUGAUCAGGUGGCACAGAAACCUGGGAUGGUGAAAAAAACAGGUUGCCACUGCAGAUUCGGUGUCUAAGAUAGAACAUAUGCCAGGGAUCUUGUAGGCAUGUGUGUGGGUUUUUGGUGGGAAAGUCUAUGAGGAAAAGUAGCAUGGGCAAAAAUCUUGAUGCCAGAGACCUGUGCUGGGAGGGGCUUGAUCACAUCAACACGCAGUGCGUAUGUUCAGUGGGUGAAAGAUAUGUGGUGGCCUCAGGUUGGCAGGAGGGUAGAAGGCAUCUGUUCUCAGAACUUCUUCCCUCAGAGUCCUCGGUCCUUCUCACCGUGGGAGGAUGCCUGGAACCAUAGGGCAGUGCAUGGUGUAGCAGCCUGUGUGCAGAGCAGAGCCUACCUUCCCCAAGAUACCUGGAGUCUCUCUCCAGCAGAGGCUCCACAUUGUCUUUCUUCUUACAACAAUUUUGAUCCUAAAUGUGUAAAGUUCCCUGAAAACCCACUGAUUCUCCAACAUCCAUUUGUUGCCCAAAAAUUUAAUUCUGACACCACUUAGAGUUUGCACAGAUCCCACAAAUUCAGGGCUCAGUCCCACAUCACCGCUCUCACUGCAGAGGAGAGUCACAUAUCCCAGAAGCCCAUCUAUACUUCUGAGCUACCUCCUAUAAAUCUGAGACUCCCAUAAACCCCUUUUCAAGUUAAAUAAUUUGAUAGAAUUACUCAAAAAAAACUCAACAAAUAAGGCUAAUUAUAUUUACUACUUUAUUAUAAAAAUAUAACUCAGAAACUGCCAAAUGGAAGAGAUGUCUAGGACAAGGAACAGUUGUGGGUGAAGGUAAUCCUUGAAAUAGCUAUAUUUAAAGAAAUUCCCCCAUUCUUUGUGUUCUCAAAGAACAGCUUAGUGAAGAGAACGUGCUUCCCAUUAUGACUUUGUGGAUGUUCUCCCCCUUUUUUUUAACCUAUCACAAAGAUGGACACAGAUUGCAAAUUCCCAUUUUUAAAAAUGAACAACCAUUCUGUAAUUUAGUCUUCAGUGGUCAAAACAGAGUACUUGUUAACAAAACUUUGCUUGUUCCUCUUCUUCCCUCAGCCCCUGAACUUUGACUCACCCACAGCCUCAGAGAACCUACAACCCAUACUUAUACACAUCCCUCCUAAGAACAGGCUGACUUCAAGGUGAAACAUUAUCUUAUCUGGGAUCUGAUUUUGCUACCCUCCAUCCUGUGCUUCCCUUCCAACCUUCUUUGUAAACUUGUUUUCUCCUUCCUAGGAAAUAAAGCCCUUUUCCGCCUAACCUUUGAGAUCCCCAAAGAUCUAAUCAUUUGUACUUUUUCUUUGUUGCAACACUUCUUAAGUAACUUCUUAGACAAAGCCUAGAAACAGUCUCAGGACAAUAACAAUUCUAUUCAAGAAAGAAUCUCCCAACAUUUCUUCUAUCUCAAUCUCAACUGCAUCUGCCUGUGAACUUCCAACUUACCAAAGCUCUGUAUCUUCUGACAGUGACAAAGGCUUCUUCCAUGGUUGGUGUCAGCAGGCUUCGAUACCUGCAGGACAGACACUCAGGAAUAAUCAACUGGGCCAUCAGUGGCCCCCUUUUGCAGGGUCACCGUUAGCCUUAGCUUUUAGUCAAUGGUCUAAGACUUCUACUUCCCAAUUAGUCAUUCAGUUAGUUUUCAAUUUAAAAAAUACUUCAUGUUUGAAGAAUCCAGCAAAAAUUAUUCAAAUCUAAGGUUUAAAAGAGAGGAAAUUAUGGCCAGGCAUGGUGGCUAAUGACUGUAAUCCCUGCAUUUUGGGAGGCCGAGGUGGGCAGAUUACCUGAGGUCAGGAGUUCGAGACCAGCCUGAUCAACAUGAAGAAACACCCUCUCUACUAAAAAUACAAACUUAACCGGGGGUGGUGGUGUAUUCCUGUAAUCCCAGCUACUUGGGAGGCUGAGGCAGGAGAAUUGCUUGAACCCGGGAGGUGGAGGUUGCAGUGAGUCAAUAUCGUGCCAUUGCACUCCAGACUGGGCAACAAGAGUGAAACUAAGUCUAAAAAAUAAAAUAAAAAUAAAAAAAGAAAAUUAUAAGGGGCUUACAUUUUAUAACUCAACAAGAAAAGCCAAAGUAUCUACCCCUUUCAGAAAAUAAACAUGUAAUUUAAUUAUGUUCAAAACAAAUCAUUUAGUAAACAAUUAAUCAUAUGUGAACACUUCCAGGAGGUGCCAAGUCCCAGCUCCUAAAACUUAGCAUUAACCUCAAACACCCAGAUAGCAGCAUAUGGAACAGAGAUAUUCACUUUCACAAAUUCUCUGUUUUGAAAAAAAGAACAACUGAUGUAAUAAAUGUAUGUAAUUUGACAAUUAAUCUACCUCAUGUGCUUGUAGAUAUGUAUUCAUUUCCUACCACAGUAGUGGAAGAGAGACUAUCACUGUCUUUAACAUUUCCAACAGUAAGCCAUGAGAUUCUGCUUGAAAUCACCUCUCAAACAAAUAAAAAACAGAACUGGGAAAGAUACUAUGCUCAUUCUGUUAAAGAAAUAGGCAAGUAACAAUUUUUAACAAGUGAAAUAUAUUACUACUUAAUUUUAUUCAAAAUUCACCAACUUAAUGUGCUUUAUAAAUAUUUUCAUACCUUUCAAGCUCUACUGAUAAAAACAUAAUUUACAUUUAAUUAAAAAGUGAAUUUAAACUAAGUACAAAAAUAUUUUCAAGGUGACAAACUUAGGAGGUGACAAUGCCAAUUGAAACACAGACAUAUCAGACCCAAGUGUCAAGUCAAGCCAUUCUAUAACUUGGGAUAUUUUCCCCACUCACAUCUGGUUCAGUGAAGUGGGUGAUGAGCGUCCUACCAGGAGCCGCUGCGCUGUGCUCCACUGUGUCUGUGAGGUGCAUUUUACUUUGCAGGUUUUUGCACUGCCUCACCGGGUUGGGUUUCUUUGUGCUUUGAAAUAUUUUCUCUCCCUUCACCAUUCUGAGGACAUUUUUUCCUCAAUAUCAGCAUCCAUUUGCCUGGCCUGCAAUGUGUCUCUAAGGAAUGGAAACUAAUCUUUGGGGUAAGAAAAUCUUAAUGUCCUAAGGGGUUUGCUUUUAGUGCAAGGGUAUACCUGGAGAUUCCUUCCAGGCACAGCUCAUCCAACCACUCCACAGAGAGGCUGCAUUCCCAUACCUUGGGCUGUUCCCUGAGAGGAGGUGACACAAGGGAUGCUAUUUACUAGACACCUCAAGAGUCAUGGCCACUGUUGGCAUCUUUGGGAAUUCUCAAGCAGUUUUGAAACUCAAAACCAAGAAAAUAACAGGAUGGCUGAGGAUGUAUUGCCCUGUGAAGUUUCCAAAAUGAAACCUCAACCCAAAGACAUUCUGAUGGGGUGUCUGUGCCAAGGGAAGAUUAAAGAAAGGGACACAAAGGUUUUCUGCGUUUUAUUUUUUUUUUUACAGUGGGGUGUCAGGGGAUUAUUCUCUGCUUUCAUCUCCUGUAAAAUGUUUACAAAUGAAAUUUUUUUAAAUGACGUCCACUGCUUUUUGACAAAAUGAAGAAUUAAAAUACUGUGUCUGAAAUGUACAGUAAAGAACAGUUGAUAAUGUUGUGGAUUAUCGAAGGUUAGUUAUUGUUGGUAAGUGUCAGGAAAGAACUGGAAAUUUAAAAUCCGAUUGCAAGCCAGAGUUAGGCUGGGGCAACAGGGAGGUAGAUUUGAGUCUCUGCCUGCCACACGUUUGGAAAAUGCAUCAGAAAACUAGUUCUCUUUUGGAGUGUUAAAAUAACUAAAAAACAGGUGAUUAUGUUGAGGUGGCUCUAGUGUCCUGAGCUCUGAGUGGAGAGACAGGCCAAGGCCCCCCUAGUUCCAAAAAUCUGCCCAUUCUUCUCCAGCUGUGCACCUGAUUAUAUAGUUUCCACUCCGGCACCCAUGAUUGGAUAUAGUUCAAAUCCCUACCCUGCCCCCUCAGGCCAUGAGUGACAUAUGUGAUUUGACACUGGGUUGAAUAAAGCAAGAAUUACAGGUUUUCCCUGGAUUCUUUUCUGGCAGGGCUUCCUCCGUGAACUAGAAACUGGCCCUGCCUGUAAAAUAUUUGCAUUUACAUUUGUAUGUAAGAUUAUUUGUAUUAAUGAAUAAUAUAUAUGUGUUAUUCAUACAUGGAAACAAUAUAAUGAGAAUUAUUUUAAAAUUUCAGAUGUUUUACUUUCCUGGUACAUCUAGGCUUUAGAGCAGGCAGCCUGAGAUUUAAAAGGGAGGCAAUUCUCUAAGAAAUAAUAUGUGAGGCACAUGCGAAUUUUAAAUAUUCUAGUAGCUACAUUUUAAUAAAUACACCGGGCGUGCUUGCCUAUGCCUGUAGGUCGAACUAUUAGGGAGACUGAGGUGGGAGGAUCACUUGAGACCAGGAGUUUGAGAUCAGCCCUGGCAACAUAGAGAAAGCCAUUUCUACAAAAAAAAAAAAAAAUAUUGAAAAAUUA